Molecule: small RNA, 163 nt
Filed under: Arabidopsis thaliana (thale cress)
Lineage: Eukaryota; Viridiplantae; Streptophyta; Magnoliopsida; Brassicales; Brassicaceae
Description: ATSL090970
Source: RNAcentral
GGUUGGCAUUUCACAAAAUCUGGAAAAUAUACAGUUAAAUCUGGAUAUCAUACGGCGCGGUUAAAGACUUUGGAUGAUAACUCUUCUUUUAUUGGCCUAGACAUCAAAGUUUUAAAAGCAUACUCAUGAAAAGUACAGUGUCCGCCCAAGUUAUGUCACUUUU